RNAcentral lists this transfer RNA (76 nucleotides) under Marinimicrobium agarilyticum. It matches the Rfam family "tRNA". Rfam says of the family: Transfer RNA (tRNA) molecules are approximately 80 nucleotides in length. Their secondary structure includes four short double-helical elements and three loops (D, anti-codon, and T loops). RNAcentral also lists the same sequence under 6 other names. Lineage: Bacteria; Pseudomonadati; Pseudomonadota; Gammaproteobacteria; Cellvibrionales; Cellvibrionaceae. The record is from RNAcentral.
GUGGCUGUAGCUCAGUUGGUAGAGCCCUGGAUUGUGAUUCCAGUGGUCGCGGGUUCGAUCCCCGUCAGCCACCCCA